UCUCCAUCUCCUGACCUUGUGAUCUACUCACCUCGGCCUCACAAAGUGCUGGGAUUAUAGGCGUGAGCCAUCUUGCCUGGCCAGAAUAUAUUUUAACUUAUUUUGCCAGUCCUCCAGACUUGAAUAUUUAGGUUUUCUCCAUUGUUUUUAAAGAAUGCUGCAACUGAUAUCUCUGUAACUAAAUGUUUUCACACAUCCUAAAUUAUAUCAGUAAAAUAAAAUUGGAGGCAUGCAAAACGUGUGCCUAGCAUUUAGAGUUCUGAUACAUAGUAUAGAAAUACUCCCAUCAAUAGUGUGUGAAAACUCAGGGUUUACGUUUCUUGUGUAUAAGGAAUCUCUUGCCAUGGAUUUUAGUUCCAUUUUAGUUCUAUUUAGCUUUCAUCCCCAGGCCUCUUAUAAUCCUACUCAUUUCGCAUAUGGUCCUGAUAUUAUCAGCUUUUUUAGUAGCCUUUUGCCCUUUGCUAUUUAAGCAUGUGUUUCUGGAUGAGAUUCUCAUUCCUAAUUAAAUAGAUUCAGAUUACUGAUUGAAUUUUCUGAGUAUCCUGUCCCAUAUGUCAAGGUCCCUCAGAAAGUCAACAGAAAACUUUAGAAUGGUAUAAUAAUUAAUAGUCAAAAGAAGAAUUCAAUUAAGAAUAUGAUGUUGGCUCUAACAUUCAUUAUCCUUAUUGCCAUACCUGGUUAACAAUACAUUUUUUAAAGAGUUUUCUCUACCCCUCCAGAAAAAAAAAAAAAAAGAAUAAAACAAAAAUAGAUCAGGUUCUGAUUAAUUAUAAAAUUUCUGGUUCCAAUCCAGUUUGCAGAAUGAUACCAUGGAUAUAAAAGUCAAAACAUUAGCUCAAAAUUAUAAUUUUUUAAGGAAAUUAUUUCAAUAGAAGAUACACAUCAUUUGACUCUCCUCUUCUUUACAGAGUGAUCCAAGAGCAGGAUCUCUUACUUUCCAUCCAUUGUCAUUCAUAGAAUCCUUGAAGCAACUCAGGAUUGUUAGCAGUGACCUUUGCGCAGAUGAGGACUCUGAAGCAUAGAAAUGUUGUAUAACUUGCUUAAUACAAAGCCCAUGCUCUUUGUAUUCCAUCAGACCAUAUCCUAUAAAUAUAUAUACAUUGCUAGGGAAGUGCACUAUGGCAACUCAGCUACCUCUCACAAGGUGGUAUGGUUUAUAAAAAUAGCAUCACACAUUUGUCAUCAUUGCUUGGUUGAGUGUCCAACAUAGAAAUAAAAAUAAAAAGAGUGUUCUCUUUGGUAUUAAAAUAUUCUAAUGCAUUAGAGAAUGAUCAUACUCACCAGUGUUAUUUUGCUCUACUUAUUUGCUUUUAAUUAUAAUAUAUGCCUGUUUACUUUUUAUAGAUAUAAAAAGGUAGAUUUAAAAAAGCACUUUAGGUAGAAAUAAAAAGCACUUUAAGAACAUGAAUUAAAUGAUACUUUAAUAAAGAAGUACAAUAGAUUAAGGAAUACAGUGAUAGAUUAAAAGAACUUGAAUUAAAACAUACUUUAUUGUUGUUAUUAACACAAAGAUUUAUGCUAACAAAACAUAUUUUCCCAAAUAUCUCUCUCACCUCCCCACCCACAAUUUUUAUUCAGGAAUAUGAGAAUUGGGCUUUUAUAAAAGCAGACAAUGGCUAAAUAUCUACUAAGUUCUUAGAAACUUUGAAGGAUUACAGAACUCUCUUUCUAUCAUAAGGUUUGCCUAUUUGACUUGAUUUUGUUCAAGAUGGCAUUUCAUACUGAUGUAAACCUAAAAAAAGUAUAAGAUUAUCUCAUAGAAGGAAGUGUCUGUAAGUAAUUAAUUCUUCACUCUAAUUACUAUUUAUGCCUUUACUUUUUAUUAUGAACUUUCUUGUUAGAAUAAAUUAGAAAUAGGUUAUUCUUUCUUUACACUAAAAUAACUCAUGAAUAGCAGUGAAGUCCAUGCUGUAUAGUAUGCAACACAGUAAAUUAAGCUAUGGAUUCAAAUAAGAGAUCAGGAAAGACAAGGCUUUUAGUUAAAUCAGGAAUAUUCUGUGAUUGGAAAAGUUGCCUUGAAAAAUAACUACACACACACACACACACACACACACACAAACACAUACAUACUACUAGAAAAAUUUGAUGUUCAAUUCAGAGUGUGGAAGGUACAGUGUCUUGAAAUAAGAGUUUCAGUUGAAGCAUUUAGGCAAAUGAUCAAGAACAUGCAGAAGGAAAAAGAAAGAAAUCAUAAUUAUAGUUUCCUAACAGAGGUAUUUGAUCCUCUGCAAUGAACCAUAAGAAACUAUCAUGGGAUCACAAUCUUGAAUAGCAUGUCUUUAAUUGUAUGCAUUUCAAAGAAAUUUGAACAUUUAAAAAAGUUAUGCCAUAUUCCAAGUUGUAUAUAAAGACAAAUGAGGUAACAGGGUUAGAGAGGUUAAGUGAGUCACCAAAGCCAAUGGCUAGAUAGUAACAGAGCCAGCCAAAAACCAAGUCCUAGCCUACC
This is a long non-coding RNA of Sapajus apella (tufted capuchin), 2446 nucleotides long. RefSeq lists it as uncharacterized. The transcript has 3 exons. Lineage: Eukaryota; Metazoa; Chordata; Mammalia; Primates; Cebidae. The record is from RefSeq and is a predicted model, not a curated record.